UUGCCUUGUCUUAGUGCGCCCUCCGUGUAUUGGGCCAAAAAAGGCCCACAGUCCAAGUCCAAACCUGCUUUAAUUGCAUCUGCAGCUGCAUCUUCUGGGGUUGAGGUGUAAUGUUGGGUGUUGUAGAAAACCCCAACCGAGUCGCAAUCUGAGACAAUGUACCCAUCAAGUCCCCAUUGGCCGCGGAUGGUGUCGCGGAGGAGGCGGGG
This 209-nucleotide unclassified non-coding RNA is filed under the name Hevea brasiliensis (rubber tree). The record is from RNAcentral. Lineage: Eukaryota; Viridiplantae; Streptophyta; Magnoliopsida; Malpighiales; Euphorbiaceae.